Gossypium arboreum is the source of this 849-nucleotide long non-coding RNA. RefSeq lists it as uncharacterized. The record is from RefSeq and is a predicted model, not a curated record. The transcript has 2 exons. Lineage: Eukaryota; Viridiplantae; Streptophyta; Magnoliopsida; Malvales; Malvaceae.
AAACUUGUUUACUUUCCCUAACAUGAACGCCCCUUUUUGUUUAUGUUACUGGUUUAAAACCAGUCACUGGUGCAAGCAGCUUGAUCUUACUGAUGUGAAGUAUCAUGAUUAGUUGUCAUCCUUCUUUGGUGUCUCUAGAUUUAGUGAAUGUACAGCUUCUUGUGACAUCUGCCUGGAUUUUGUAGCUUGUUACUAUUAAAGAUAUGUUAGUUUUCGGAGUAUGAAAUGGACGUAAUGCCAGUUUGGACCGAACAAUAUCAAACCCCGGUUUAUCACUAAAUUACAUCCAAACAAACUUGAAGUGGAGACAUGCUAUGUGAAGAAGAGGAACUGUGUUUUAGUAAGAUCCAGCAUAAAGAAACAUAAUGAAGCAAUAUAUAGAUCUCAAAAUGAGUUGAUGUUACUAGUUUUUGAAGAAAAAUUGUAGGUGAGAAUGCAUUAGUAGCAAGAGUUGAUUUCUGUUGAUUGUCUUGCAAGUGGCUUUAUACAACAGGAUGGGCACAACAUGGUGUGAUUGUGCAGAUUGUCAGAAGAUUUAGCAUACAUUGAAUUCAAGCUAUCUGAACCGUUGGCUAUCCAGGGAUCUGUAGAUUGGCAAAAUGAGCCCGAACUCGAAAAACCUGAGUCUGAACUAGAGUUGGAGGGUUGUUUAACUAGGUUAGGAGUUGUGGUACCUUUUUUUCAGAAAAAAAGAACUCCAGAUGUAUCAAAGAUGCUUUUAUUUGGAGGUAAGGCAUAUAAAUUUAGAAUCUUGAUGACAUAGUAUAAUGCAAAACAGACAAUAUAAUAUUCUUAAUGUUGCCUAAAACUGUAAGCAAUUGAAAUUCCAAUGCUGGUUUGCUCUGUAAA